AGUACGAAUCUUGGUUUUGCCCUCCUUUGCUCUUUGCAACUUGAGGCGCUCCCACCAGAUUGAUGCAUGCUUUCGAAGCUUGAUGGCUACAAUCUUCACUUUAAGCUCAUCGGGGACCUCUUUGUAGUCAAAGAUCCGCUCAACAGUGUUAAGCCAAUCUAGAAAGAUGUUGGAUUGCAUUUUUUCUUCAAACUCAGGAAUGUCUACCCUGAUGUCUGAAAAUCGAAACUGAUGACGAUGUUGGUGAGAUGAAGAAGAGUUGCUCCUCCUACCACGACGUAAACUUUAGUCACGGAAGGUGUUGCGAUCUUCUUCAGUGGUGCCGCCGUCCUCUUCACUCGGGUUUUGCUCAUAACGAGCCAACCUUUCGGUAAGAUUUUGGACUUGCCGCCGCAACUCAUCAUUCUCUAUGUCGCGAAGAUCUCGCUCUCUACGAGGUUCUUCAUCGCUAGAACGACUUUGGUUGCCUCGGCUUGCCAUGGUUGGUUGAAGCUUGCGUCAACACCACCACGAGAAAUGCGAUAGGAUUCCUCUCGAAACGUCAAGAGAUGAUAACCUCGCUCUGAUACCACUUGUCAGGAUCAAGCGCUACCAUUACACUAAAACCCGCAGGUAUUAGUGAAGGCGCAACUUUAUUUUCUUAAACUAGCGCAGGGGCCCAUAGCGCCACGAGUCGACUCCGACCAAGCCUCGCCCAACUCCGGACUCCGACAGGGCCUCGCCAGUGGGUUCAGG
RNAcentral lists this long non-coding RNA (735 nucleotides) under Phoenix dactylifera (date palm). Its description in RNAcentral is "long non-coding RNA (PDAC_LNC012997)". Lineage: Eukaryota; Viridiplantae; Streptophyta; Magnoliopsida; Arecales; Arecaceae. The record is from RNAcentral.